RNAcentral lists this unclassified non-coding RNA (683 nucleotides) under Hevea brasiliensis (rubber tree). The record is from RNAcentral. Lineage: Eukaryota; Viridiplantae; Streptophyta; Magnoliopsida; Malpighiales; Euphorbiaceae.
UGUAAUAUCUCUGUAAAUAAGAUAGCAUACAUAUAGACAAUCUUUUACAUUAUCACUUGUAUUUUUUCUGCUAAUACAGCUAAUGAUCUCAUUCAACUUGCAGUUUUUUGUGUUGGAGCAUAGGGAAAUCCAGCAACGCUUUGUUAUUUAAUGACCAACAACAAGUGCGAUCUAUCAUUAGUGCUGCGUUAUCUUACCAACAGGCUUUCAAUGAAGCCCAACCAAUAAAAAGAAUUUCGACUGAUAACUCACCAAUUCAGGUUGUGUCAUGGUCACCUGCUCCAGUAAAUGUCUUAAUCAUGCAGCUCUGGAUGGAAAGUGAGGUCAAGGAUCAACUGCAUUACUCUUCCGUGACAACUCUGGUUCUAUUAGAGACUGGAACUUCAAUUCCUACCCUCACAUAGUGGACCCAUGGGUCUUAGAAAGCAUAGCUUGUAGCUUGUAGGGAUGCCAUUCAAUUGGCAGUGGCUAAAGGAUACAAAAGGAUUCAAUUUAAAGGAGACUGCCUAACUCUAAUUCAGGCCUUGCAUGAUUCUCACCCUCCUAUGGAUAUAUCAGCAAUUGUACAAGAUAUUUGGCUCCUUACUGCCCAGCUGGAUUUAGUUACUUUCCUUUUUGUUAAACGUUCCGGUAACAAAGCAGCGCACUUGUUGGCUCAAAAGGUUCUUCAUGAUGCCUUCUUU